AUUGAACGCUAGCGGGAUGCUUUACACAUGCAAGUCGAACGGUAGCACGAAGAAAGCUUGCUUUCUUUGGUGACGAGUGGCGAACGGGUGAGUAAUGUAUCGGAACGUACCCAGUAGCGGGGGAUAACUACGCGAAAGCGUGGCUAAUACCGCAUACGCCCUACGGGGGAAAGGGGGGGGAUCGCAAGACCUCUCACUAUUGGAGCGGCCGAUAUCGGAUUAGCUAGUUGGUGGGGUAAAGGCCCACCAAGGCGACGAUCCGUAGCUGGUUUGAGAGGACGACCAGCCACACUGGGACUGAGACACGGCCCAGACUCCUACGGGAGGCAGCAGUGGGGAAUUUUGGACAAUGGGGGCAACCCUGAUCCAGCCAUCCCGCGUGUGCGAUGAAGGCCUUCGGGUUGUAAAGCACUUUUGGCAGAGAAGAAACGACUCUGGAUAAUACCCGGGGUUAAUGACGGUAUCUGCAGAAUAAGCACCGGCUAACUACGUGCCAGCCGCCGCCGUAA
RNAcentral lists this ribosomal RNA (509 nucleotides) under uncultured bacterium. RNAcentral's name for it is "partial 16S ribosomal RNA". It matches the Rfam family "Bacterial small subunit ribosomal RNA", at positions 30 to 523 of the family's 1533-position model. The record is from RNAcentral.